GACGAACGCUGGCGGCGUGCUUAACACAUGCAAGUCGAACGGAAAGGCCCUGCUUUCAGGGUACUCGAGUUGCGAACGGGUGAGUAACACGUGGGUGGUCUGCCCUGCACUUCGGGAUAGGCCUGGUAAACUGGGUCUAAUACCGGAUAGGAGCCAUUUUUAGUGUGAUGGUUGGAAAGUUUUUUCGGUGUUUGAUGAGCUCUCUGCCUAUCAGCUUGUUGGUGGGGUAAUGGCCUACCAAGGCGGCGGCGGGUAGCCGGACUGAGAGGGUGGACGGCCAUAUUGGCACUGACAGACGGCCCCGACACCUACGGGAGGGAGCAGUGGGGAAGAUUGCAGAAUGGGCGCAAGCCUGAUGAAGAGACGCUGCGUGGGGGAUGACGGCCUUAGGGUUGUAAACUACUUUCGCUAGGGACGAAGCUUUUUGUGACGGUACCUAGAUAAGAAGCACCGGCUAACUACGUG
RNAcentral lists this ribosomal RNA (465 nucleotides) under uncultured bacterium. RNAcentral's name for it is "partial 16S ribosomal RNA". It matches the Rfam family "Bacterial small subunit ribosomal RNA", at positions 28 to 507 of the family's 1533-position model. The record is from RNAcentral.